GACGAACGCUGGCGGCGUGCUUAACACAUGCAAGUCGAACGGAAAGGCCCUGCUUUUGUGGGGUGCUCGAGUGGCGAACGGGUGAGUAACACGUGAGUAACCUGCCCUUGACUUUGGGAUAACUUCAGGAAACUGGGGCUAAUACCGGAUAGGAGCUCCUGCUGCAUGGUGGGGGUUGGAAAGUUUCGGCGGCUGGGGAUGGACUCGCGGCUUAUCAGCUUGUUGGUGGGGUAGUGGCUUACCAAGGCUUUGACGGGUAGCCGGCCUGAGAGGGUGACCGGCCACAUUGGGACUGAGAUACGGCCCCGACUCCUACGGGAGGCAGCAGUGGGGAAUAUUGCACAAUGGGCGGAAGCCUGAUGCAGCACCGCCGCGUGCGGGAUGACGGCCUUCGGGUUGUAAACCGCUUUCGCCUGUGACGAAGCGUGAGUGACGGUAAUGGGUACAGAAGCACCGGCUAACUACGUG
RNAcentral lists this ribosomal RNA (468 nucleotides) under uncultured bacterium. Its description in RNAcentral is "partial 16S ribosomal RNA". It matches the Rfam family "Bacterial small subunit ribosomal RNA", at positions 28 to 507 of the family's 1533-position model. The record is from RNAcentral.